Molecule: ribosomal RNA, 436 nt
Filed under: uncultured bacterium
Lineage: Bacteria
Description: bacterial SSU rRNA
Rfam family: Bacterial small subunit ribosomal RNA
Source: RNAcentral
UCGAGAAUCUUCGGCAAUGGGCGCAAGCCUGACCGAGCGACGCCGCGUGGAGGAUGAAGGCCUUCGGGUUGUAAACUCCUGUCGAGGGGGAAGAAGGGUCGAAAGACCUUGACUGAUCCCUGGAGGAAGCACGGGCUAAGUUCGUGCCAGCAGCCGCGGUAAGACGAACCGUGCGAACGUUAUUCGGAAUCACUGGGCUUAAAGCGCGUGUAGGCGGGACGGCACGUCGGUCGCUGAAAUCCCCCGGCUUAACCGGGGAACGGGCGUCGAUACGACCGUCCUGGAGGGGCGUAGGGGGACCUGGAACUUCCGGUGGAGCGGUGAAAUGCGUUGAGAUCGGAAGGAACGCCCGUGGCGAAAGCGAGGUCCUGGACGCCUACUGACGCUGAGACGCGAAAGCCAGGGGAGCGAACGGGAUUAGAUACCCGCGUAGUCC